This 73-nucleotide transfer RNA is filed under the name Actinomycetes bacterium. Its description in RNAcentral is "Actinobacteria bacterium (soil metagenome) tRNA-Glu". It matches the Rfam family "tRNA". Rfam says of the family: Transfer RNA (tRNA) molecules are approximately 80 nucleotides in length. Their secondary structure includes four short double-helical elements and three loops (D, anti-codon, and T loops). The record is from RNAcentral. Lineage: Bacteria; Bacillati; Actinomycetota; Actinomycetes.
GGCCCCGUCAUCUAGCGGCCAAGGAUUCCGCCCUCUCACGGCGGCCACGCCGGUUCGAAUCCGGUCGGGGCUA